UAAGUACUCCCUCCGUCCAAAAAUACUCGUCGAGGAAUGAAUGUAUCUAGACGUAUUUUCGUUAGAUGCAUUCAUCUUUAUGCAUUUUUUUGACAAGUAUUUCCGGACGGACGGAGUAUUGA
Non-coding RNA from Triticum aestivum (bread wheat), 122 nucleotides. The record is from Rfam. NCBI's taxonomy places the organism in Eukaryota, Viridiplantae, Streptophyta, Magnoliopsida, Poales, Poaceae.